GACGAACGCUGGCGGCGUGCCUAAUACAUGCAAGUCGAGCGGACGAUUCGAAAGCUUGCUUUUGAAUCGUUAGCGGCGGACGGGUGAGUCACACGUGGGCCCCCUGCCCUGUAGUCGGGGAUCUUCACGAGAAAUCGGUGCUAAUCCCGGAUAACACGCUAUGUCGCAUGACGUUUCGUUGAAAGGCGGCGCAAGCUGCCGCUCCAGGAUGUUACCGCGUCGCAGUAGCUGGUUGGUGGGGUAAAGGCUCUGACAGGUGGCGAUGCGUAGCCGACCGGCGGGGGUGAUCGGCCACACGGGGACGGAGACACGGCCCAGACGCCUGCGGGAGGCAGCAGUAGGGAAUCUGCCGCAAUGGUCGAAAGUCUGACGGAGCAACGCCGCGUGAGAGAAGAAGGCCUUCGGGUCGUAAAGCUGGGUUUUUAGGGAAGAACAAGUAACGUAGGAACUGACGUGACUAUGACGGUACCUAACGAGAAAGCCACGGCUAACUACGUG
RNAcentral lists this ribosomal RNA (498 nucleotides) under uncultured bacterium. RNAcentral's name for it is "partial 16S ribosomal RNA". It matches the Rfam family "Bacterial small subunit ribosomal RNA", at positions 28 to 507 of the family's 1533-position model. The record is from RNAcentral.